CCUACGGGAGACAGCAGUGGGGAAUGUUGCACCAUGGGGGAAACCCUGAUGCAGCGACGCCGCGUGCGUGAAGAAGUAUCUCGGUACGUAAAGCUCUAUCAGCAGGGAAGAAAAUGACGGUACCUGACUAAGAAGCCCCGGCUAACUACGUGCCAGCAGCCGCGGUAAUACGUAGGGGGCAAGCGUUAUCCGGAUUUACUGGGUGUAAAGGGAGCGUAGACGGCAGCACAAGUCUGGAGUGAAAUCCCGGGGCUUAACCCCGGAACUGCUUUGGAAACUGGGCGGCUAGAGUGCCGGAGGGGUAAGCGGAAUUCCUAGUGUAGCGGUGAAAUGCGUAGAUAUUAGGAGGAACACCGGUGGCGAAGGCGGCUUACUGGACUGUAACUGACGUUGAGGCUCGAAAGCGUGGGGAGCAAACAGGAUUAGAUACCCCAGUAGUC
RNAcentral lists this ribosomal RNA (440 nucleotides) under uncultured bacterium. Its description in RNAcentral is "partial 16S ribosomal RNA". It matches the Rfam family "Bacterial small subunit ribosomal RNA", at positions 338 to 795 of the family's 1533-position model. The record is from RNAcentral.